GGAUACGGUCAUACCAGCACUGAAGCAUCGGAUCCCAUCAGAACUCCGAACUUAAGCGUGCUUGGGCGAGAGUAGUACGAGGAUGGGUGACCUCCUGGGAAGUCCUCGUGUUGCAUUUU
Brachypodium distachyon (stiff brome) is the source of this 119-nucleotide non-coding RNA. NCBI's taxonomy places the organism in Eukaryota, Viridiplantae, Streptophyta, Magnoliopsida, Poales, Poaceae. The record is from Rfam.